RNAcentral lists this long non-coding RNA (318 nucleotides) under Homo sapiens (human). Its description in RNAcentral is "HSALNT0012674". The record is from RNAcentral. Lineage: Eukaryota; Metazoa; Chordata; Mammalia; Primates; Hominidae.
AACAAGAGUUGUUCAUUUGGUGGUGUAUAUAUUGCCUAUUUAUAUGUUUUAUUCAACAGACUUUAUAUAUAAAGUUCUUCUAAGUUCUAGCCCACUGAUUCUUUUCUCUUUCCUUCUGUGAACACUGUUGUCUGGAAGGAAGCUGCUACUUAGCCAUGCACCUCUGCAAAUCUUGGAAAGAGUCAAGGAUUCCUGAGGCAAGGAAGUUGGAUAAUGAUGAGCACCAGGCAAGACACAGCUGGCCACUGGAGAGAGAGCCCAGUGUAGGCAGAAGGCCAGAAUGUGCCAACAGGUUCAAGGUGUAAAGGAAGAAAAGCC